Molecule: long non-coding RNA, 2012 nt
Organism: Panicum virgatum (switchgrass)
Lineage: Eukaryota; Viridiplantae; Streptophyta; Magnoliopsida; Poales; Poaceae
Exons: 3
Source: RefSeq, a predicted model, not a curated record
GUGUCCUUGUGGCUUCGACGCCAAAUUCCUCUUGCCCUCCUCUGUUCUUGCUUCCUUUCUCUGAAUUCUACUUCCGCUACCUCUGGUAUCUAACAUGCAGGUGCAGGGGCCGCCGCCGGAGGUGCCGUUCCGCCCGACGCAAGAUCGAGAUCAGGCCGCGAGGACAUCGACGGCACUCAUCCUUGCGACAUCCCAGGAUCACAAGAAUUGGGUGCGGGGCCGGCCAACCAGAUAGGCCAGGGCGUCGCACCAUCGCCGUGGCGGUACUGCUGCGCUGGAUUGCCUCCUGAAACAUUGAUUUCCUGCCGCCGUCAAAUUACUGCGAUUCAUUCUGAGCUGGCACCGCUGUUACCUCCACCUGGAAACUGGUCCUCUAGGUCAGUCACAAAGGUCAGUCGAUGUGUUAUUUGCAUGUGAGAUUUGAUAUUGCAUCAUGAUCAAUGCAGUGUCCAGAUUUUUCUAACGAGGUCACGUAGGGACUUCUUGUUAUUAGCGAUGGGAGGUCACAUAGUUCUUCUAGGUGAACAUUCUAUCUCAAUGACAACAUUAAUUGGAGAGAACAAGGAGGGAAUAAGGUGACCAAUCCCUACAUUAGCGAGAAAUCUGUACAAAUCUGUUCUAACAUUCAAUCACACUUUCAUUAAUCAAUAAUGCUACAUCUCUGGUACUUCACUGGUCCAGAUUGUUCAUUCAAGUGCCUUUAAAUUGGUCUACUCUGAAAUGCAUGUGAAAUCAGUUCUGAGUAUAAUCAUGAGUCAUGAUUUUUCCCUAACAGUCCAUAUUAUGUCAAGAGUUUUACCCUGAUGUGCUAAUAGCAUGCAAUCCUGCCUUUUAAGGACAUCAUGUAUAGUGCAUAUAGGUGCUCCUGAAGCCCCGUUGCCCAUCCGAAAGCCCCUAAAGCUGAGAUAGUGUGGCAGAAUGUUCAAGGGGCGUGUAUCUUUUGAGCGUGUAGGUGCUCCUAGAUUAUAGUGCUAUAGGUGGUUCUGAAUUUAGUAUAUAUCUGAGGCAAAUGCACUUGAGAAUAUUAUAGUUCCUCUUUGGUUUUUGAUCAUGUCUGGAUCUCAUCUUGAUCUUAUUUUCACCGAGGGCUAAAUAUUCAAAGUUAUCAAAUGAGUGUUCAGAAAUAUUGUCAUUAUAUGAAUGUUCUGAAGAUAUCUAUGCGCACCCACCUCCACAUGUUGUGGCGUCACUGUCGGGACCACCAUACAGCAAUGGAAGGAGGAGGACAACGCCGUGCAAGGAAUGAUGGUGCUUAGCGGAUCAUCGGAGAUGGUGAACAAACGCUAGCGCUGGGAUGAUGGAGAAGUAGCAGCCCACCAUGAUCUACCAGGCAUUUAGGAGGGAUGCCCAUGUGAAUGGAUUUUCAUGAUCUUUUCGGUCGCAAAUUUGAAGUGGUGUGUACCCUGGUUAUUUACUUCAAUAGAAGCUAAAUCAUCAUGUCCAAUGCUCUAGGAGUUGGAUACAUUACCACUGCUAUGGACGCCUUCAUCAGACGACAUUCAUGCGUGUUCACCUGCGGUCGCAGCGGUAUGGAGGUAAUACGAAAAUCAUGUUUUUUUUAAUUUUUGUUCAUGCCCUCCUGUACUCAUGUCUGUACAUAAAGUGGAAUAAGUACUACAUCGAUUUUUGUCCGGCAUUGCAGCAUGGUUGGACAGAUAAAAAUAUUUUUCAUCUCUUCUACUAAAUACAUUUCUAAUAACCAACAAGAUUAUUAUCCCAAUUCUCAUCAAACCAUUCAUGUUGUUUCAAACCAACACAAUUAUUGUUCACUUUCCUGGAGCUACGGUUAUUGUGUGUUCAUGCUCUGGGCUGGAGGGAUGCUAGAGGCCAAAACUAUUUGUUUUUGUAGUUUUUCUGUAGUUUCUUGCUCUUUUGUGCUUCUUCCUUUUGUAAGACCUGUUAUUUGUUUUUUUGGGUUUCAAAGCUCGUGCUUUGAUCUUGUAAUUUUAAUCUUGUAAAUAUAAAUAUUAUAUAUUAUGUGAUUUAUGCAAUAAAAGGUGUACAAUCAGUUA